This 570-nucleotide ribosomal RNA is filed under the name uncultured fungus. RNAcentral's name for it is "eukaryotic LSU rRNA". The stretch from base 208 to 361 matches the Rfam family "5.8S ribosomal RNA". The record is from RNAcentral. Lineage: Eukaryota; Fungi.
CGUAACAAGGUCUCCGUAGGUGAACCUGCGNNNNNAUCAUUACACAAAUAUGAAGGCGGGCUGGAACCUCUCGGGGUUACAGCCUUGCUGAAUUAAUCACCCUUGUCUUUUGCGUACUUCUUGUUUCCUUGGUGGGUUCGCCCACCACUAGGACAAACAUAAACCUUUUGUAAUUGCAAUCAGCGUCAGUAACAAAUUAAUAAUUACAACUUUCAACAACGGAUCUCUUGGUUCUGGCAUCGAUGAAGAACGCAGCGAAAUGCGAUAAGUAGUGUGAAUUGCAGAAUUCAGUGAAUCAUCGAAUCUUUGAACGCACAUUGCGCCCUUUGGUAUUCCAAAGGGCAUGCCUGUUCGAGCGUCAUUUGUACCCUCAAGCUUUGCUUGGUGUUGGGCGUCUUGUCUCUAGCUUUGCUGGAGACUCGCCUUAAAGUAAUUGGCAGCCGGCCUACUGGUUUCGGAGCGCAGCACAAGUCGCACUCUCUAUCAGCAAAGGUCUAGCAUCCAUUAAGCCUUUUUUUCAACUUUUGACCUCGGAUCAGGUAGGGAUACCCGCUGAACUUAAGCAUAUCA